UCCGCUAUGGUAUUAGGGAGCA
Molecule: non-coding RNA, 22 nt
Filed under: Arabidopsis thaliana (thale cress)
Lineage: Eukaryota; Viridiplantae; Streptophyta; Magnoliopsida; Brassicales; Brassicaceae
Source: RNAcentral